RNAcentral lists this ribosomal RNA (253 nucleotides) under uncultured bacterium. RNAcentral's name for it is "partial 16S ribosomal RNA". It matches the Rfam family "Bacterial small subunit ribosomal RNA", at positions 524 to 776 of the family's 1533-position model. The record is from RNAcentral.
UACAGAGGAUGCAAGCGUUAUCCGGAAUGAUUGGGCGUAAAGCGUCUGUAGGUGGCUUUUUAAGUCCGCCGUCAAAUCCCAGGGCUCAACUCUGGACAGGCGGUGGAAACUACCAAGCUGGAGUACGGUAGGGGCAGAGGGAAUUUCCGGUGGAGCGGUGAAAUGCGUAGAGAUCGGAAAGAACACCAACGGCGAAGGCAGCUCGCUGGGACGUCACUGACGCUGAGACGCGAAAGCGUGGGGAGCAAACAGG